Molecule: ribosomal RNA, 225 nt
Filed under: Aureobasidium pullulans
Lineage: Eukaryota; Fungi; Ascomycota; Dothideomycetes; Dothideales; Saccotheciaceae
Description: partial large subunit ribosomal RNA
Rfam family: Eukaryotic large subunit ribosomal RNA
Source: RNAcentral
GGGUGAGAAUCCCGUAUGUGACUGGAAAUGUUAACCUAUGUAAAGCUCCUUCGACGAGUCGAGUUGUUUGGGAAUGCAGCUCUAAAUGGGAGGUAAAUUUCUUCUAAAGCUAAAUAUUGGCGAGAGACCGAUAGCGCACAAGUAGAGUGAUCGAAAGAUGAAAAGCACUUUGGAAAGAGAGUUAAAAAGCACGUGAAAUUGUUGAAAGGGAAGCGCUUGCAAUCA